UACGUAGGGUGCGAGCGUUAAUCGGAAUUACUGGGCGUAAAGCGUGCGCAGGCGGCUUUGCAAGACAGAUGUGAAAUCCCCGGGCUCAACCUGGGAACUGCAUUUGUGACUGCAUGGCUUGAGUGCGGCAGAGGGGGAUGGAAUUCCGCGUGUAGCAGUGAAAUGCGUAGAUAUGCGGAGGAACACCGAUGGCGAAGGCAAUCCCCUGGGCCUGCACCGACGCUCAUGCACGAAAGCGUGGGGAGCAAACAGG
This 253-nucleotide ribosomal RNA is filed under the name uncultured bacterium. RNAcentral describes it as "partial 16S ribosomal RNA". It matches the Rfam family "Bacterial small subunit ribosomal RNA", at positions 524 to 776 of the family's 1533-position model. The record is from RNAcentral.